This 247-nucleotide ribosomal RNA is filed under the name uncultured bacterium. RNAcentral's name for it is "partial 16S ribosomal RNA". It matches the Rfam family "Bacterial small subunit ribosomal RNA", at positions 118 to 347 of the family's 1533-position model. The record is from RNAcentral.
UGGGUAACCUGCCUCAAAGAGGGGAAUAGCCUCCCGAAAGGGAGAUUAAUACCGCAUAAUAUGUUUAGGUCGCAUGACUUUAACAUCAAAGGAUUUUCUUUUAGAAAUUCCACUUUGAGAUGGACCCGCGGCGCAUUAGCUAGUUGGUGAGGUAACGGCUCACCAAGGCAACGAUGCGUAGCCGACCUGAGGAGGGUGAUCGGCCACAUUGGAACUGAGACACGGUCCAGACUCCGUACGGGAGCAG